CAAGUCGUACGCGAACGACCUUUCGGGGUUAAGUAGAGUGGCGAACGGGUUAGUAACGCGUGGGAACAUACACAGCACAGGGGGAUAACCAUUGGAAACGAUGGCUAAUACCGCAUACGCCCUAUUGGGGAAAGAUUUAUCGGUGUUGGAUUGGCCCGCGUUAGAUUAGCUAGUUGGUGGGGUAAUGGCUCACCAAGGCGACGAUUUAUAGCUGGUUUGAGAGGAUGAUCAGCAACACUGGAACUGAGACACGGUCCAGACUCCUACGGGAGGCAGCAGUCGGGAAUAUUGUGCAAUGGGGGCAACCCUGACACAGCCAUGCCGCGUGAGUGAAGAAGGCCUUAGGGUUGUAAAGCUCUUUCAGAUGUGAGGAUGAUGACCAUAGCAUCAGAAGAAGCUCCGGCUAACUUCGUGCCAGCAGCCGCGGUAU
Molecule: ribosomal RNA, 430 nt
Filed under: uncultured bacterium
Lineage: Bacteria
Description: bacterial SSU rRNA
Rfam family: Bacterial small subunit ribosomal RNA
Source: RNAcentral